UGGGGAAUUUUGCACAAUGGGGGAAACCCUGAUGCAGCGACGCCGCGUGAUUUAGAAUGCCUUCGGGUUGUAAAAAUCUUUUCUAUGGGAAGAAAAUGACAGUACCAUAGGAAUAAGGACCGGCUAAUUACGUGCCAGCAGCCGCGGUAAUACGUAAGGUCCGAGCGUUGUCCGGAAUCAUUGGGCGUAAAGGGUACGUAGGCGGGUAAGCAAGUUAGAAGUGAAAUCCUAUAGCUCAACUAUAGUAAGCUUUUAAAACUGCUCAUCUUGAGGUAUGGAAGGGAAAGUGGAAGUCCUAGUGUAGCGGUGAAAUGCGCAGAUAUUAGGAGGAAUACCGGUGGCGAAGGCGACUUUCUGGCCAUAACCUGACGCUGAGGUACGAAAGCGUGGGUAGCAAACAGG
This 402-nucleotide ribosomal RNA is filed under the name bacterium. Its description in RNAcentral is "partial 16S ribosomal RNA". It matches the Rfam family "Bacterial small subunit ribosomal RNA", at positions 355 to 776 of the family's 1533-position model. The record is from RNAcentral.